RNAcentral lists this ribosomal RNA (438 nucleotides) under uncultured bacterium. RNAcentral's name for it is "bacterial SSU rRNA". It matches the Rfam family "Bacterial small subunit ribosomal RNA", at positions 954 to 1392 of the family's 1533-position model. The record is from RNAcentral.
GCAGAACGCGAAGAACCUUACCUGGGCUCGAACGGCGGACGACGUCUCUUAGAAAUAGGAGAGUUUCCUUCGGGAACGGCCGUCGAGGUGCUGCAUGGCUGUCGUCAGCUCGUGUCGUGAGAUGUUGGGUUAAGUCCCGCAACGAGCGCAACCCUUGUCCUGUGUUGCUAAUCUUCGGAUGCACUCUCAGGAGACCGCCAGCGACAAGCUGGAGGAAAGUGGGGAUGAUGUCAAGUCAGCAUGGCCUUUAUGUCCAGGGCUACACACGUGCUACAAUGGGCAGGACAGACCGUUGCAAACCCGCGAGGGGGAGCUAAUCGGAGAAACCUGUUCUCAGUUCGGAUUGCAGGCUGCAACUCGCCUGCAUGAAGCUGGAAUCGCUAGUAAUGGCAGAUCAGCAUGCUGCCGUGAAUACGUUCCCGGGUCUUGUACACACCG